This 891-nucleotide ribosomal RNA is filed under the name Triticum aestivum (bread wheat). RNAcentral's name for it is "partial small subunit ribosomal RNA". Lineage: Eukaryota; Viridiplantae; Streptophyta; Magnoliopsida; Poales; Poaceae. The record is from RNAcentral.
AUGGAAAACGUCACCCGUGAUGCUUUUGAUGUGCAGUAUGGCCUAUUCAAGGAAACGGUUGAUCAUCUGCUGUAUCCCAACCCAAGAUCGAGGUUGGUUCAUGAACAACAUCUGCUGUAUUUCCGUUUCCUUGGAAUUCUUCUUGGGAAGGCAAUGUAUGAGGGCAUAAAAGUUGCCUUGCCAUUUGCAACAUUCUUCUUAAGCAAGCUGAAACAAAAGUCGACCACCUUGAAUGAUCUGUUUUCACUGGAUCCAGUUUCAUACGAACAUCUUUUGCAGUUAAAGCGUUAUGAGGGCAAACUCUUGGAUUUGGAAUUGCGUUUCGUUACCACAAAUAAUGAAAAUGCUGACCAAUCUGAAGAAUUGCUUCCUGGUGGGAGAGGAAUGCGUGUUACUGAUCAUAAUGUUACUACUUAUAUUCAUCUAAUUGCCAACCAUCGUUUAAACUAUCAGAUCCGUAGUCAAAGUACACAUUUUUUGAGAGGUUUUCAACAACUCAUACCAAAAGAAUGGAUUGAUAUGUUCAAUGAACAUGAAGUUCAGUUUCUCAUAUCCGGCUCUCCGAAAAGUUUGGACAUUGAUGACUUGCGGUCAAACACCAAUUAUGCUGGAGGAUAUCAUGAGGGUCAUCAGGUUAUUGAUAUGUUCUGGGAGGUUUUAGCAAGCUUCUCUUCAUAUGAUCAGAACAAGUUUCUGAGGUUUGCCAUUGGAUGUUCUCGCGGCCCAUUUCGUGGAUUCCGACACGUUGUUCCGAAAUUUAGCAUUCUGAGAGAUUGUUACCUUGGAAUGGACGAGCAUAUAGACCGUUCGCCUACUUCGGUGACUUGCCUGAAUCAGCUGAAGCUCCCUCCUUAUGCAACGUUAGUAAACCAAAUAACUACAGUACAUUAG